AUUUGAUAAAUAAAAGUUUUGAUUUCGAAUCAAAAGUAUACUAAUCAAUAA
RNAcentral lists this transfer RNA (51 nucleotides) under Tetranychus urticae (two-spotted spider mite). RNAcentral describes it as "tRNA-Arg". Lineage: Eukaryota; Metazoa; Arthropoda; Arachnida; Trombidiformes; Tetranychidae. The record is from RNAcentral.